Molecule: long non-coding RNA, 994 nt
Filed under: Citrus sinensis (sweet orange)
Lineage: Eukaryota; Viridiplantae; Streptophyta; Magnoliopsida; Sapindales; Rutaceae
Description: long non-coding RNA (CSIN_LNC001777)
Source: RNAcentral
AACAAUAUCUCCUCACAAGAUCGCGCAUCGGCUACAGCUCCGUCGUACCCAUGCCAAGCCACCACAUUCGGCGCCAUUAUUGUUACAGGUGAAUAAUCUGGGUUCCAAUGUUGAGUGUCAUAUUCGACGAAUAAUGAUAUUGUUGUCUCCAUAAGUAAAUGAUUAAGAUCCAAAACCUCUUGUUGGAGACCAAUUAUUUGUCCACUGAAAAACAAGAACAAGAAUAGCUCCACCAAAAUGAAAAAGAGAGCAGCAGCAACCAAAACUUGCAAACGAUUUGGAUUUGUCGAUGCUAAUGGAAACGAACGGCCACCAUCAUCACUCCUACAGAUUGUUGGACUUUGAGAUUGAGAUUGGAAGGGAGUCUUGAAUUAUCCUUGUUGCUGCUAGUUAAAAUUCGAGUUAUUGAGUUCAUAAUAAAUGUUUUAGUUGAAGGCUAAUGAGUUUGGGAUCGGGAUUUGGAAUAAUGGGUCUAAAACUAAGAGAUUUGAUGACAUCAUAAUGAAGAAGAUGGCAUCAAGGCAAAUUACAAUUCGCUUUGACAGGAGCGGCCGAUUUGAGUUUAGAAUUGAAGUGAUUGCCAUGAAAUUUUUUGAACAUUUUGGGGCAAAAAUGUCAUUUUAUUAAUAUUCCGUAAGUUUAAAAUAUGUGAAAAUGAAGGUGAAGAUCAUGACAAUGGAAGAAGAUGAAUGUGAGGAGUGAUGAUGAUGGAGAUGAAGGCGAGAGGAGAGAGGAAAAAAAUCUUCAAUUUCAUUUGUUAAUUUAUAAAUUCAAGGGUAUUAUUGUCUUUUGUUGAUAUUAGUGUUUUACAUGGAUUAAUAUGUCUUGGAUGUAAUUCAAAUAAGUACUUCAAUACUUAAAAAAUAAUAAAUAAAAAGAAUAUAAGGUGCUAAAUAAAAUUUUAAUAUUGUAUGUAAGUAGAAAGUAUCAUAUUAUUUCUUAGUAUUUUAUGAAUAAAAAGGUUCAGUGAAAUUUAACAUUAGUUAAAUUACAA